Molecule: ribosomal RNA, 450 nt
Filed under: Aerotrochus mcnabianus
Lineage: Eukaryota; Metazoa; Mollusca; Gastropoda; Stylommatophora; Sagdidae
Description: partial 16S ribosomal RNA
Source: RNAcentral
AGCCUAAUGAUUUAUUUAUAUUAGGUAAAUUCUGCUCAAUGAUAUAAAUAAAUAGCCGCAGUACUUUGACUGUGCGAAGGUAGCAUAAUAAAUUGGCUUAUAAUUGAAGUCGGGAAUGAAGGAAUACAUGGAUAUAAGCUGUCUUAUAUAAACUUAUUUUAAUUUUCUAAAUAAGUGAAAAUUCUUAUUAUAUAUUUUAAUAGACGAGAAGACCCUUGAAAUUUUUAUGAAUAGUGUAUUUAUAUAUUAGUAAUUUUUGUUGGGGCGACAGAUUUACAUAUUACUAAAUUUAUAAGCUUGUUAUAAUACAAAUUUUAUUAAUAAAAAUAAAUUACUCAAGGGAUAACAGCAUAAUUUAUUUAUAAGUUUGUGACCUCGAUGUUGGACUAGGAAAUUUUAAGUUUAGAAGAUUUAAAAUUAGGUUCUGUUCGAACUAUUUUUUCCUACAUG